AGCUGUGCUGCUUCGCUGACGAGUGGCGGACGGGUGAGUAAUGUCUGGGAAACUGCCUGAUGGAGGGGGAUAACUACUGGAAACGGUAGCUAAUACCGCAUAACGUCGCAAGACCAAAGAGGGGGACCUUCGGGCCUCUUGCCAUCGGAUGUGCCCAGAUGGGAUUAGCUAGUAGGUGGGGUAACGGCUCACCUAGGCGACGAUCCCUAGCUGGUCUGAGAGGAUGACCAACCACACUGGAACUGAGACACGGUCCAGACUCCUACGGGAGGCAGCAGUGGGGAAUAUUGCACAAUGGGCGCAAGCCUGAUGCAGCCAUGCCGCGUGUAUGAAGAAGGCCUUCGGGUUGUAAAGUACUUUCAGCGGGGAGGAAGGGAGUAAAGUUAAUACCUUUGCUCAUUGACGUUACCCGCACAAGAAGCACCGGCUAACUCCGUGCCAGCAGCCGCGGUAAUACGGAGGGUGCAAGCGUUAAUCGGAAUUACUGGGCGUAAAGCGCACGCAGGCGGUUUGUUAAGUCAGAUGUGAAAUCCCCGGGCUCAACCUGGGAACUGCAUCUGAUACUGGCAAGCUUGAGUCUCGUAGAGGGGGGUAGAAUUCCAUGGGUA
RNAcentral lists this ribosomal RNA (608 nucleotides) under bacterium. RNAcentral's name for it is "bacterial SSU rRNA". It matches the Rfam family "Bacterial small subunit ribosomal RNA", at positions 75 to 677 of the family's 1533-position model. The record is from RNAcentral.